This 460-nucleotide ribosomal RNA is filed under the name uncultured bacterium. RNAcentral's name for it is "partial 16S ribosomal RNA". It matches the Rfam family "Bacterial small subunit ribosomal RNA", at positions 338 to 795 of the family's 1533-position model. The record is from RNAcentral.
CCUACGGGAGGCAGCAGUGAGGAAUAUUGGUCAAUGGACGCAAGACUGAACCAGCCAUGCCGCGUGAGGGAAGACGGGUCUAUGAGUGGUAAACUGCUUUUGUACGGGGGAAAACGCAGGUACGCGUCUCCGGCUGAGAGUAUCGUAAGAAUAAGGAUCGGCUAACUCCGUGCCAGCAGCCGCGGUAAUACGGAGGAUGCGAGCGUUAUCCGGAUUUAUUGGGUUUAAAGGGUGCGUAGGCGGUCGGAUAAGUCAGAGGUGAAAGCCCGGGGCUCAACUGCGGAAUUGCCUCUGAUACUGUUAGGCUCGAGAGUAGUAGAGGUAGGCGGAAUGCAUGGUGUAGCGGUGAAAUGCUUAGAGAUCAUGCAGAACACCGAUUGCGAAGGCAGCUUACCGGGCUACUUCUGACGUUGAGGCACGAAAGCGUGGGGAGCGAACAGGAUUAGAUACCCGGGUAGUC